RNAcentral lists this long non-coding RNA (7032 nucleotides) under Daucus carota (carrot). RNAcentral describes it as "long non-coding RNA (DCAR_LNC006799)". Lineage: Eukaryota; Viridiplantae; Streptophyta; Magnoliopsida; Apiales; Apiaceae. The record is from RNAcentral.
GCCGAUCCCUACACCGGUUUAAAAAAAGAGAAAAAAUAUUCCAACCUGUUACCGUAGUUUUAGUGAUUUUGAUAAGUGUUUUUGUUUAGUAUUGUCCUUUUGGUAUUGUUUGAUUGUUGUGCAUGUAUUGGGACCCUGAAGAAAAUAAUAAUAAUAGAGAAAUUUAGUAAAAUUAAAAUUUUAUAUAUGACGUUUGAGAUUAAUUUUUUGUGUAAGUUAAGCCCCCAUUUAUGAAUUUCUGAAUAUGCCGCUGGCUAGACUUGUGGGUUUGAUGGGUUUUGGUAUUGUUUCAUUGUUGUGCAUGUAUCAGACUUGUUGGUUUCAUGGGUUUUUGGACUUUCGGUAUGAUAAUUGUAACAUGGAUUGUUAGAGCCGGAGCUAAAAGGAAUUAUCGCUAAUUUUGAGCUAUUUGAAAUUUAAUGUAAACGCCCUCUUGCUUAGGGUCCGAACCUGUGCAAAACAGUUUAGGAGGAGACUAGGAGCAGGGUGUGUACACAUCUUUGAAUAUACUUGGUUUAGUUCGUUUUUAUAGGAAAGUUUUGUUUGGCUGAAGUUUUACUUACUCGGUUUUGUUAAAUGGGCACUAAUACUCUCUAAUGUGGCGUUUUGCCUUGUCUUUUUGUGGAAUUUGUUCUAGACAAGGGUCAUUCUUAUUUAACUACCUCUCUAUAACUUCAAGGAGAUCGUGUAUACUAGACUCUAGUGUUGAAUAUGCAAAAAGUGUGUGUGUGUGUGUGUACGCAUCUCAUGUGCUGCGGCGGGUAUAUUUGGUUUUGUUUGAUUUUGUGAGUUAUUCCUCCUUUCCACUAUUAUAGUGUUUCAGUUGGGACAUUUGUGUUAAGUUAUUUGAAUCAUAUAACGGUUAAAUAGCCCUACACUAAAAAAAAAAAUAGCCAACAAGGUGUUGGUGCGGUGGUUGAGGUCUCGUACCCCCUUGCAGGAGUUCAGGAGUUUGACUCCCCGGUGUGCGUGUGUAGUCAAUUAGCAAAAAAAAAGGUUAUUUGAAUCAUUUUGUAAGGUGUAAUCUACUAUAUAUGGAGCUUUGUUGGAUGUAUUUGGUGUUUUUCUUUAAAACUUCACAGUGCUUGCUGCUCUAUAUAUAACUGUUUUUUUCUUUUGCUAUCUUUGUUAAAGAAUUUCAAGAAACUCAGUCUAGAGAGGUGGGAAUACGCCAAUGAAGGCUUUCAGAAAGGAAAAGAUCAUCUGUUAAAGAAUAUUAAGAGGAAGAAACACCAACCUGAUCAACAAGUCCCACAGGAUGGAAAGAAUUCACAACUUUCACUUUAUCACGAGAAUCUUAAAAAGGAAGCAGAACUUGAAAAGUUGAAGAGCGAUACCGAGAAGUUGAGAACUGAACUUCUAAUUAUCCAAAAGGAACAGGAGAGUGCUGAUAAUUAUCUGUUAUCUGUUAAAGAGAGGCUAAUAAGAACCGAACACAAGCAACAGCAGAUGUUCAUUUGCAUGGCAAGAGCAUUUAAGAACCCGCUAUUCAACGAGAUUCUCAUGCAGCAGCUCAGGGAAAAAGAAGCACUGGAUACUGCAGGAACUUCAAAGAAACAAAAGCUGAUUGCUCCCCAGUGCAACAAAAGUCUAGUUGAGGCAAUCUAUUAUGCUGGGGGAAGCCAAGCUAAAGAUGACUUCACAAUGAUUGAUACAGAAGCUCAGAAAGCAUAUUUUCAUAAUGAAGCAAAAAACCCCGUUGUUCAGAGCCAAAAGGUUAAUGAAGUGUUGGCUACAAAACCUUCAGAUAUUGCUUUGGACAAUUGUUUGCUGGUAGAAAAUCUAUUGGCUGAUGACGUGGUCUCUGAGACUAAAGCAGCAACAGAACAAGCAAAUGUUCAUUCAAAAGUUGUUCUUGAGUUGGAAGAAUUGAUCACAAAGGUAAGUGCCAAUUGGGAGGUAUCUAUGAAGGAGAUGGUUGAGCAAGCGGUUUGUCUGCAAUCACAGUUCUAGUUGGUAAGAUCUUUAAUUCUCACCGUAAGUAAACAAUUAAGUAUCUAUAAUUCCUCCAAAAUUGUGUAUGUGAUACUAAAGCAUAAGUAACUUUUUAAGAUGGAUUAGAAUUUAAAAAUAUUUCAGUCUUCAAGCUUGUUGAUCGCGUCCUAUCUGCCCUUUUUCUCGAUACUUUGUCAAAUGGGAACAACUAAUGUUGAGCAAGUCAUAUGCAGAAAAGUGAAAAACAAGAAGAGGCCUGGAUAAAUCCCAACAUAGAUUCUUAUUAGUUUGUUUGCAUAUACUACAACUUGCAUGACAAUUAGAAGUUAUCAAGAUCAUCUGACAUGUCUUAAUUCAUUGAGACUCCUACAAGAAUUCUCAGUUGAUUCCCAUAAUCAAGUAAAAAUGUAUAAUGAGCGGUUUCCUUGGGAGAGGGAGGGGUAUUUGUGAUGCAAACUAAUCUGAUAAAUCUUUCCUGUCAUUCAUGUGCAGGACAUUGGAGAACUAUCGCAUACAAAGAUCUUAAGAUAGUUUUAUAAUUGUUCUUAGAAGAAAUCACAACUCCCAACAACCCCAGGUUUGAGCUUUAUGCUAUUUCGGCCCUUUUGCCUUCCUGGAGGUUUCGCAUUAUGUAGUAGUUAGAAUAUAGUGUGGUUAUGUACAUAAACUUUGUAAUUUUCUUUUGUGAUUCUCAGUUUUCUAAAGUGUUUUUUAAGGUUCCUUUUGUUCUUUUAUCAUAAAGACCGUUCUCUGGUAGUUAUAAAAUCAUAAUACUUUCAAAUAUUACGACAUUUGCUCUUCAGGAUCAUUGCUUAUUUUCAGCUCCUUGCUAAUAACGCUUUUUAUUACACAUUCAAUGCAACUUUUGAAUCCUAAACUGAAGCUGCCCGCUUGUUAUAUACGCUCACAGAAACCUCAGGCGAUGUAUCCUCCAUUCCUCCAUUUUACGCGCAGACCUGUCUGAGAGGUUGCACGUUUGCCACUGCAGUUGUUGCAAGUCUGCAUAACCUCCCACCCAUGUAUAAACUCUAGACAGGCAAUAUAGCUGUCCUGCAUCUACUAAUUCCACUAUAAUGCAACUCAAUUUAAGAAAGAUGUGAUUAUAAAUAAAUCUCACACUAUAUUAAUGCAGGUAUCAACUGACAACAUUUGUGAUUUAAACUGAAGAGUACAAAGGCUUCUUCCUCCUUAUCAAGAAACAAUAGGCAUUUGGAAGCCAAAAUACAAUCUGUUUAAAUCUUUGAGUAGCAAGAGAAACAGGAACAUCUUUCAAACUAUAGAAAGGCAUACCAUCAAUCUUUCUUGUGACUUCCAGGUGAGCAAACUUUUUCUAGCCCUUUGCCAAGAGGUCCAAGACAGUCAUAAAUAUCGCUUUUCUUCUUGGGUGAGACAUCACUUCUCUUGUCGGGUGACAAUACAGGGCCACCAGAUUCUUUCUUAUGGUGAAUCGUAUCGAUAAGGGCCUCAAACUCUUCCUUUGCACGCUCAAACACGUUAGGACCUUUGAAAUCAUCAAUGGGUGUGUUGGCAUCAAAAUCAUCACUCCUCCCAUGAGUUUCCCUACGGUGCUUAUGUGGAGACUUCAUUCGCUCAGCUCCUUCUUUGUGUUCCUUUCUUACUUCUACUUUUGGUGGCGUCACAUUGUUCUUGCCACCACUUGCAAGGCCACUGGAUUCUUUCUUAGGGUGAAUCGUAUCAAUAAAGGCCUCAAACUCUUCCUUUGCUCGCUCAAAUACGUUGGGACCUUUGAAAUCACCAAUGGGCGUGUUCUCAUCAAAAUCAUCGCUCAUCCCAUGAGUUUCCCUAUGGUGCUUAUAUGGAGACUUCUUUCUGUCCUUUACUUCUCUUUGUUCCCUUGACCCCACACUGUCCUUGCCUGCAGUUAUGCAAUAUGAUUAAUUCAACACACUAUCUAAGCAUGUCAAAGAUAUUUGGAUAGAGAUCAAGAUACAUUAACCAACAACAUAAAAACUACUUUGAAAUUUUUUUAAUUGCAAUAACUAACAGUAAUUAAGAAGUUGAUCCUCCAACGGUGAUAUCUAGUUACACCUGCAAUAGAAAAUAGAUGAUAAAAUUUAUAAUCUUUAGGUGCUUGCCUGAUUGUGUUCUUGAUCAUUCCUCGCCACCAGUGGUGGAGCGAGGAAUUCAACAACCAAAUUCCUAACUCAAAACUGGCUGGACAAAUUUUUCUUUAAACAAAAUAUAUUAAAAAACAAAGUAAAGCAGAAGGAUCUUCCUCAAAUUCAUUAUUAUUAAUUAAAAAGUAAAAAAAAAGUAUGAUUAAUUAUAAUAAAAACAACAAAAUAUGAUAAUGAAAAGAUAAAGCAUACAUUUAUUUAGUCCAAUAAAAUAAAUUGAUAUACAAUAAUAUUAGAAGAAAAUAGUGCAAGUAUGACAUAAAAAAAAUGACAAUUAAAAUCAAUAUAUAACACCAAGUUCUAUGCAUAAAAUGUCCCCUGCCUCUAGGGUGGUCCCACCCUGCUUGAGACCUUGCAUAGUUCUAUCAGUUUUUGAAGAAAGACAGGAAUGUGGCGAUGGACUUGCCCUAAUUGAGGUUUCUAACAUGCAAUUCUCAAGAAAAAAAAAAAAAAAAGAAACAAGUUCUUAUAAAGCUUGGAUUUGAAGCAUUAUGAAAGAAACACAAUGCGCUAAGUUUCUACAAAAACCACUCCCAAUAUUUAUGCUGAAAACAUUAAAUUUCGUCAAAUCAUAUAUAGCCAUAUGCUGCAUUUAUUCUCAGAAUCAUAUACAUCACCAUAAAAAAUCGAAGGAUUUCUCCAGAAACCUGGGAAAGAGNNNNNNNNNNNNNNNNNNNNNNNNNNNNNNNNNNNNNNNNNNNNNNNNNNNNNNNNNNNNNNNNNNNNNNNNNNNNNNNNNNNNNNNNNNNNNNNNNNNNNNNNNNNNNNNNNNNNNNNNNNNNNNNNNNNNNNNNNNNNNNNNNNNNNNNNNNNNNNNNNNNNNNNNNNNNNNNNNNNNNNNNNNNNNNNNNNNNNNNNNNNNNNNNNNNNNNNNNNNNNNNNNNNNNNNNNNNNNNNNNNNNNNNNNNNNNNNNNNNNNNNNCUUUCCAAGACCCACAAGUUCAAUAAAAGCACCCAAUAUUAAUUUGAGUCUCUCAUGACCUCUGUAAUGGAUGGAUUUACAGGACUUGAUCAAAAUAGUUUGUGCAGUGAGAGUGAGCUUGAAGCUCUUUUUGCAGCAGCAAGUGAUGAGAACAUAGCCCAUGAAGUGAGUUUAAAGAAAGAGGCUAUAGUUGUGGUGGAUGAUGAAGAGGUGCCACAGCCUUUGAAGGGUUUGUAUGAAGAUGGGCCCACUCCAUUUAUCAAGAAAAUAUAUGGGAUGGUGGGAGAUGCAGAGACUGAUGGGAUCAUCUCAUGGAGUGAGUCUGGGAUGAGUUUUGUGAUCAGGGAUCAGUACAAGUUCUGUGUGGAGAUUCUGCCCAAGCACUUCAAGCACGCCAACUUUAGUAGCUUUAUUCGCCAACUCAACACUUAUGUCAGUAUCUUUUUUUCUUUUCUCGUGAUUCUUGUUUACAAUAUUCCAACCUGUUGCCCCGCGGGGUGUCAUAUAGUUGAACAGUGGCGUUUAAGGCUGGCUGUCUUGAGGUCACGAGUUCGAUUUCCUGGACACUCCGGGAGUAUGUGGGCUACAUGCUCGAAGCACGAGUGGUCGAGUGUGCUAGUAUGUCCACCUGGAUUAGUCGAGGUGCACGGAAGCCGAUCCCUACACCGGUUUAAAAAAAGAGAAAAAAUAUUCCAACCUGUUACCGUAGUUUUAGUGAUUUUGAUAAGUGUUUUUGUUUAGUAUUGUCCUUUUGGUAUUGUUUGAUUGUUGUGCAUGUAUUGGGACCCUGAAGAAAAUAAUAAUAAUAGAGAAAUUUAGUAAAAUUAAAAUUUUAUAUAUGACGUUUGAGAUUAAUUUUUUGUGUAAGUUAAGCCCCCAUUUAUGAAUUUCUGAAUAUGCCGCUGGCUAGACUUGUGGGUUUGAUGGGUUUUGGUAUUGUUUCAUUGUUGUGCAUGUAUCAGACUUGUUGGUUUCAUGGGUUUUUGGACUUUCGGUAUGAUAAUUGUAACAUGGAUUGUUAGAGCCGGAGCUAAAAGGAAUUAUCGCUAAUUUUGAGCUAUUUGAAAUUUAAUGUAAACGCCCUCUUGCUUAGGGUCCGAACCUGUGCAAAACAGUUUAGGAGGAGACUAGGAGCAGGGUGUGUACACAUCUUUGAAUAUACUUGGUUUAGUUCGUUUUUAUAGGAAAGUUUUGUUUGGCUGAAGUUUUACUUACUCGGUUUUGUUAAAUGGGCACUAAUACUCUCUAAUGUGGCGUUUUGCCUUGUCUUUUUGUGGAAUUUGUUCUAGACAAGGGUCAUUCUUAUUUAACUACCUCUCUAUAACUUCAAGGAGAUCGUGUAUACUAGACUCUAGUGUUGAAUAUGCAAAAAGUGUGUGUGUGUGUGUGUACGCAUCUCAUGUGCUGCGGCGGGUAUAUUUGGUUUUGUUUGAUUUUGUGAGUUAUUCCUCCUUUCCACUAUUAUAGUGUUUCAGUUGGGACAUUUGUGUUAAGUUAUUUGAAUCAUAUAACGGUUAAAUAGCCCUACACUAAAAAAAAAAAUAGCCAACAAGGUGUUGGUGCGGUGGUUGAGGUCUCGUACCCCCUUGCAGGAGUUCAGGAGUUUGACUCCCCGGUGUGCGUGUGUAGUCAAUUAGCAAAAAAAAAGGUUAUUUGAAUCAUUUUGUAAGGUGUAAUCUACUAUAUAUGGAGCUUUGUUGGAUGUAUUUGGUGUUUUUCUUUAAAACUUCACAGUGCUUGCUGCUCUAUAUAUAACUGUUUUUUUCUUUUGCUAUCUUUGUUAAAGAAUUUCAAGAAACUCAGUCUAGAGAGGUGGGAAUACGCCAAUGAAGGCUUUCAGAAAGGAAAAGAUCAUCUGUUAAAGAAUAUUAAGAGGAAGAAACACCAACCUGAUCAACAAGUCCCACAGGAUGGAAAGAAUUCACAACUUUCACUUUAUCACGAGAAUCUUAAAAAGGAAGCAGAACUUGAAAAGUUGAAGAGCGAUACCGAGAAGUUGAGAACUGAACUUCUAAUUAUCCAAAAGGAACAGGAGAG